UGGGGUUAUAGUAUAGAGGGAGUACGGCUGGUUCGCAAUCAGCAAACACGGGUUCGAUUCCCGUUAGCUCCAA
RNAcentral lists this transfer RNA (73 nucleotides) under Leuconostoc pseudomesenteroides. Its description in RNAcentral is "tRNA-Ala(cgc)". It matches the Rfam family "tRNA". From Rfam's summary of the family: Transfer RNA (tRNA) molecules are approximately 80 nucleotides in length. Their secondary structure includes four short double-helical elements and three loops (D, anti-codon, and T loops). Further hydrogen bonds mediate the characteristic L-shaped molecular structure. tRNAs have two regions of fundamental functional importance: the anti-codon, which is responsible for specific mRNA codon recognition, and the 3' end, to which the tRNAs corresponding amino acid is attached (by aminoacyl-tRNA synthetases). tRNAs cope with the degeneracy of the genetic code in two manners: having more than one tRNA (with a specific anti-codon) for a particular amino acid; and 'wobble' base-pairing, i.e. permitting non-standard base-pairing at the 3rd anti-codon position. Lineage: Bacteria; Bacillati; Bacillota; Bacilli; Lactobacillales; Lactobacillaceae. The record is from RNAcentral.